Molecule: ribosomal RNA, 262 nt
Filed under: uncultured bacterium
Lineage: Bacteria
Description: partial 16S ribosomal RNA
Rfam family: Bacterial small subunit ribosomal RNA
Source: RNAcentral
GUCCACACCGUAAACGAUGAAUGCUAGGUGUAGGGGUGCAAACCUCUGUGCCGCAGUUAACACAAUAAGCAUUCCACCUGGGGAGUACGGCCGCAAGGUUGAAACUCAAAGGAAUUGACGGGAGCCCGCACAAGCAGUGGAGUAUGUGGUUUAAUUCGACGCAACGCGAAGAACCUUACCAAAAUUUGACAUCCCAGGAACCCGGCGUAAUGGCUGGGGUGCCCUUCGGGGAAUCUGGUGACAGGUGGUGCAUGGUUGUCGU